GACGAACGCUGGCGGCGUGCCUAAUACAUGCAAGUCGAACGCUGAAGAGAGGAGCUUGCUCUUCUUGGAUGAGUUGCGAACGGGUGAGUAACGCGUAGGUAACCUGCCUUGUAGCGGGGGAUAACUAUUGGAAACGAUGGCUAAUACCGCAUAACAACGGAUGACACAUGUCAUUUAUUUGAAAGGGGCAAUUGCUCCACUACAAGAUGGACCUGCGUUGUAUUAGCUAGUAGGUGAGGUAAUGGCUCACCUAGGCGACGAUACAUAGCCGACCUGAGAGGUUGAUCGGCCACACUGGGACUGAGACACGGCCCAGACUCCUACGGGAGGCAGCAGUAGGGAAUCUUCGGCAAUGGGGGCAACCCUGACCGAGCAACGCCGCGUGAGUGAAGAAGGUUUUCGGAUCGUAAAGCUCUGUUGUAAGUCAAGAACGGGUGUGAGAGUGGAAAGUUCACACUGUGACGGUAGCUUACCAGAAAGGGACGGCUAACUACGUG
RNAcentral lists this ribosomal RNA (497 nucleotides) under uncultured bacterium. RNAcentral's name for it is "partial 16S ribosomal RNA". It matches the Rfam family "Bacterial small subunit ribosomal RNA", at positions 28 to 507 of the family's 1533-position model. The record is from RNAcentral.